GAUGAACGCUGGCGGCGUGCCUAAUACAUGCAAGUCGAGCGGAAGGACGAGAAGCUUGCGGCUCUGAUGUUAGGCGAGGGCGGGAGUGUCACGUGUGUAUAACGUACCUGUAUGACUGGGAUCACUUGGGAACUGGGGCUAUUACACCAGAGAAGCUUCUGCAGCGCGGGGGGGGUAGGAGAGAGACGGCGUUGCGGGCUGGACUAGCGGCUUCUGCGCUGGAUUGGCUGGUUGUUAGGGUAACGGGUUACCAAGGGAACGAUGCGUAGCCGACUUGAGAGAGUGGUCGGCCACCCUGGAACUGAGCCACGGACCAGGCUCCUACGGGAGGCAGCAGUAGGGAAUCUUCCGCAAUGGGCGGAAGCCUGGCGGAGCAACGCCGCGUGAGUGAUGGAGGUCUUCGGAUCGUAAUACUCUGUUAUUAGGUGAGAACAUAUGUGGACGUAACUGUGCACAUCUUGACGGUACCUAAUCAGAAAGCAACGGCUAACUACGUG
This 497-nucleotide ribosomal RNA is filed under the name uncultured bacterium. Its description in RNAcentral is "partial 16S ribosomal RNA". It matches the Rfam family "Bacterial small subunit ribosomal RNA", at positions 28 to 507 of the family's 1533-position model. The record is from RNAcentral.